Molecule: ribosomal RNA, 427 nt
Filed under: uncultured bacterium
Lineage: Bacteria
Description: partial 16S ribosomal RNA
Rfam family: Bacterial small subunit ribosomal RNA
Source: RNAcentral
UAGGGAAUCUUCGGCAAUGGGGGGAACCCUGACCGAGCAACGCCGCGUGAGUGAAGAAGGUUUUCGGAUCGUAAAGCUCUGUUGUAAGAGAAGAACGGGUGUGAGAGUGGAAAGUUCACACUGUGACGGGAUCUUACCAGAAAGGGACGGCUAACUACGAGCCAGCAGCCGCGGUAAUACGUAGGUCCCGAGCGUGGUCCGGAUUUAUUGGGCGUAAAGCGAGCGCAGGCGGUUAGAUAAGUCUGAAGUUAAAGGCUGUGGCUUAACCAUAGUAUGCUUUGGAAACUGUUUAACUUGAGUGCAGAAGGGGAGAGUGGAAUUCCAUGUGUAGCGGUGAAAUGCGUAGAUAUAUGGAGGAACACCGGUGGCGAAAGCGGCUCUCUGGUCUGUAACUGACGCUGAGGCUCGAAAGCGUGGGGAGCAAACA